This 253-nucleotide ribosomal RNA is filed under the name uncultured bacterium. RNAcentral's name for it is "partial 16S ribosomal RNA". It matches the Rfam family "Bacterial small subunit ribosomal RNA", at positions 524 to 776 of the family's 1533-position model. The record is from RNAcentral.
UACGGAGGGUGCGAGCGUUGUCCGGAAUCAUUGGGCGUAAAGGGCGCGUAGGUGGCGGGACAAGCGUGCGGUGAAAGCCUGGGGCUCAACCCCGGGUCGGCCGUGCGAACUGUUUUGCUUGAGCACUGUAGAGGCAGGCGGAAUUCCGGGUGUAGCGGUGGAAUGCGUAGAGAUCCGGAAGAACACCUGUGGUGUAGACGGCUUUCUGGACCAUAGCUGACGCUGAGACACGAAAGCGUGGGUAGCAAACAGG